Long non-coding RNA from Juglans regia (Persian walnut), 595 nucleotides. RefSeq lists it as uncharacterized. The record is from RefSeq and is a predicted model, not a curated record. The transcript is spliced from 3 exons. Lineage: Eukaryota; Viridiplantae; Streptophyta; Magnoliopsida; Fagales; Juglandaceae.
UCUCAUUUCCUCCUAUUACACGUCGGUCCCCAAAGCAAACAAAGGAAGAAAUUUCCGUAAGCUUUCUUCCUGCGUACGAGAGGCUCUCGGUUUCCACUAACCCGUGCGAUUCCUCUCAUUCCUUCAAGCCGAUCCCUUUCAGUUGUGAACCCAAGCUUUCCAUCGAAGAUCCUCAAGGGAAUCGACCCCAAAUUUCUGUUGUGUUCCAGCCCCAAAUAUUUCGGAUUCUCUUCCUCUUCUCGUUGCGUGUGUUUCCAUGGCUUCUAAAAGGACCCAAACAGGUAUGAACGAUGAGGCUGUGGAGCCAGGUGCUGCUGACGAGGGAAGGACUAAGGUUUAGAGUUCCCGGUUGGUUUGAGUUGGAGGACAAUGAUUAUUUUCUUUAUGUUUUUAUUAUGGGUCCCAUGUUGGGACGUUCUGUUGGUUUGACUUUAAAACAAUAUGCCUUUGGGCAAGGGUGUAAGUACUAUGGUGGGAUGAUAGUAACGGUGUAUUUUUUAUGGUGGGGUGAUGGUAACCCCACAUAGGAAGGUUAAAUGCCUUUUUGUAUGUGUUAUGGGGACUGAGUCCCCUCUUAAUUAGAACUAGUAUGUUU